Molecule: ribosomal RNA, 507 nt
Filed under: uncultured bacterium
Lineage: Bacteria
Description: bacterial SSU rRNA
Rfam family: Bacterial small subunit ribosomal RNA
Source: RNAcentral
AUUGAACGCUGGCGGCAGGCCUAACACAUGCAAGUCGAGCGGAAACGAUGGGUGCUUGCACCCAGGCGUCGAGCGGCGGACGGGUGAGUAACGCGUGAGAAUCUGCCCAUUUGUGGGGGAUAACUCGGGGAAACUCGAGCUAAUACCGCAUAAUCCCUACGGGGGAAAGCAGGGGACCUUCGGGCCUUGUGCAGAUGGAUGAGCUCGCGUCGGAUUAGCUAGUUGGUGGGGUAAAGGCCUACCAAGGCGACGAUCCGUAGCUGGUCUGAGAGGAUGAUCAGCCACACCGGGACUGAGACACGGCCCGGACUCCUACGGGAGGCAGCAGUGGGGAAUCUUGGACAAUGGGGGCAACCCUGAUCCAGCCAUGCCGCGUGUGUGAAGAAGGCCCUAGGGUUGUAAAGCACUUUCAGCAGGGAGGAAGGCUUACUGUUAAUACCGGUGAGUACUUGACGUUACCUGCAGAAGAAGCACCGGCUAAUUUCGUGCCAGCCGCCGCCGUAACAC